RNAcentral lists this ribosomal RNA (1428 nucleotides) under Salmonella enterica. Its description in RNAcentral is "bacterial SSU rRNA". It matches the Rfam family "Bacterial small subunit ribosomal RNA". RNAcentral also lists the same sequence under 2 other names. The record is from RNAcentral. Lineage: Bacteria; Pseudomonadati; Pseudomonadota; Gammaproteobacteria; Enterobacterales; Enterobacteriaceae.
GAGUAAUGUCUGGGAAACUGCCUGAUGGAGGGGGAUAACUACUGGAAACGGUGGCUAAUACCGCAUAACGUCGCAAGACCAAAGAGGGGGACCUUCGGGCCUCUUGCCAUCAGAUGUGCCCAGAUGGGAUUAGCUUGUUGGUGAGGUAACGGCUCACCAAGGCGACGAUCCCUAGCUGGUCUGAGAGGAUGACCAGCCACACUGGAACUGAGACACGGUCCAGACUCCUACGGGAGGCAGCAGUGGGGAAUAUUGCACAAUGGGCGCAAGCCUGAUGCAGCCAUGCCGCGUGUAUGAAGAAGGCCUUCGGGUUGUAAAGUACUUUCAGCGGGGAGGAAGGUGUUGUGGUUAAUAACCGCAGCAAUUGACGUUACCCGCAGAAGAAGCACCGGCUAACUCCGUGCCAGCAGCCGCGGUAAUACGGAGGGUGCAAGCGUUAAUCGGAAUUACUGGGCGUAAAGCGCACGCAGGCGGUCUGUCAAGUCGGAUGUGAAAUCCCCGGGCUCAACCUGGGAACUGCAUUCGAAACUGGCAGGCUUGAGUCUUGUAGAGGGGGGUAGAAUUCCAGGUGUAGCGGUGAAAUGCGUAGAGAUCUGGAGGAAUACCGGUGGCGAAGGCGGCCCCCUGGACAAAGACUGACGCUCAGGUGCGAAAGCGUGGGGAGCAAACAGGAUUAGAUACCCUGGUAGUCCACGCCGUAAACGAUGUCUACUUGGAGGUUGUGCCCUUGAGGCGUGGCUUCCGGAGCUAACGCGUUAAGUAGACCGCCUGGGGAGUACGGCCGCAAGGUUAAAACUCAAAUGAAUUGACGGGGGCCCGCACAAGCGGUGGAGCAUGUGGUUUAAUUCGAUGCAACGCGAAGAACCUUACCUGGUCUUGACAUCCACAGAACUUUCCAGAGAUGGAUUGGUGCCUUCGGGAACUGUGAGACAGGUGCUGCAUGGCUGUCGUCAGCUCGUGUUGUGAAAUGUUGGGUUAAGUCCCGCAACGAGCGCAACCCUUAUCCUUUGUUGCCAGCGGUUAGGCCGGGAACUCAAAGGAGACUGCCAGUGAUAAACUGGAGGAAGGUGGGGAUGACGUCAAGUCAUCAUGGCCCUUACGACCAGGGCUACACACGUGCUACAAUGGCGCAUACAAAGAGAAGCGACCUCGCGAGAGCAAGCGGACCUCAUAAAGUGCGUCGUAGUCCGGAUUGGAGUCUGCAACUCGACUCCAUGAAGUCGGAAUCGCUAGUAAUCGUGGAUCAGAAUGCCACGGUGAAUACGUUCCCGGGCCUUGUACACACCGCCCGUCACACCAUGGGAGUGGGUUGCAAAAGAAGUAGGUAGCUUAACCUUCGGGAGGGCGCUUACCACUUUGUGAUUCAUGACUGGGGUGAAGUCGUAACAAGGUAACCGUAGGGGAACCUGCGGUUGGAUCACCUCCUUA